This is a ribosomal RNA of Halomicrobium mukohataei DSM 12286, 2923 nucleotides long. It matches the Rfam family "Archaeal large subunit ribosomal RNA". The record is from Rfam. Lineage: Archaea; Methanobacteriati; Methanobacteriota; Halobacteria; Halobacteriales; Haloarculaceae.
UGACGUUGGCUACUGUGCCGCCUGGUGGAUAGCUCGGCUCGGAAGCCGAUGACGGACGUGCCAAGCUGCGAAAAGCCAUGGGGAGCCGCACGGAGGCGAAGAACCAUGGAUCUCCGAAUGGGAAUCCCUCUUACAAUUGCUUCGCGCAAUGGGGAACCUCGAGAAUUGAAACAUCUUAGUAUCGAGAGGAACAGAAAGCGCAAUGCGAUGUCGUUACUAACCGCGAGUGAACGCGACACAGCCCAAACCGAAGCCCUCACGGGCAAUGUGGUGUACGGACUACCUUUCAUCGGCCGACCAUCUUCACGAAGUCUUCUGGAACGAAGCGUGAUACAGGGUGACAACCCCGUAGUGAAGGUCAGUACGUCGUGUGGUAACUCCAGAGUAGCGGGGGUUGGAAAUCCCUCGUCAAGACGGCAGGCAUCGACUGCCAAGGCUAAAUACUCUCCGAGACCGAUAGUGAACAAGUAGCGUGAGCGAACGCUGAAAAGCACCCUCAGACGGGGGUUGCAAUAGGGCUUGAAAUCAGGUGGCGAUCGAGCGACGGGGCUUACAAGGUCCUGUAACAAACGAGAGCGGCGCGAGCCGUCAGUAGGACUUACAGGAAGCCGAAGUUCCGUCGUGCGUUUUGAAAAACGAGCCAGAGAGUGUGCCUGUUUGGCGAGUCUAACCCGAUAAUCGGGGAAGGCAUAGGGAAACCGACAUGGCCGCAGCGCUUUGCGCAAGGGCCGCCGUCUUCAAGGGCGGGGAGUCAAACGAGCACGACCCGAAACCGGGUGAUCUACGCGUGGGCAGGGUGAAGCGUGCCGAAAGGCACGUGGAGGCCCGUUAGGGAUGGUGUCCUACAAUACCCUCCCGUGACCUACGUGUAGGGGUGAAAGGCCCAUCGAACCCGGAAACAGCUGGUUCCAACCAAAACAUGUCGAAGCAUGACGUCCGCCGAGGUAGUUCGUGGGGUAGAGCGACCGAUUGAGGUGCUUCACUUCGAGAGAAGUGAACACUUCUGUCAAACUCCGAACCUACGAACGCUGUCGACGCGGGCAGUCCGGUAUGCGGGGUAAGCCUGUGUACCGUAAGGGAGACAACCCAGCGCCGGGUUAAGGUCCCAAAGUGUGGAUUAAGUGUGAUCGAAAGUGGUCUCAAGCCCUAGACAGCCGGGAGGUGAGCUUAGAAGCAGCUACCCUCUAAGAAUAGCGUAACAGCUUACCGGCCGAGGUUUGAGGCGCUGAAAAUGAUCGGGACUCAAAUCCACCACCGAGACCUGGCCGCUCCCGUGAAAGGGAGAUCGAGUAGGUUGGCGCUCCGAUUGGAUGGAAGCAGGGGUGAGAACUCCUGUGGACCGAUCGGUGACGACAAUUCUGGCCAUAGUAGCAGCGAUAGUCGGGUGAGAAUUCCGACGGCCGAACGAGCAAGGGUUCCUCAGCACUGUUCGUCAACUGAGGGUUAGCCGGUCCUAAGUCCCCCCGUAAUUCGAAGGGGACGACAUGGGAAGCUGGUUAAUAUUCCAGCGCUCGUAUGCAACGAAACCGACGCCUCGGGGUCGACCGAGCUGGGCCUUCGCCCAGUCAAAUCAUCCAAAUCCGUGGAAGCCGUAAUGGCAGGAAGCGGACGAACGGUGAGAUAGUGAAAACCGGUUCAACCUGGGGCCCGUGAAAAGGGAGCAUACGAUCCGUACCGAGAUCCGACACAGGUGCUCGUGGCGGCGAAAGCCAAGGCCUGUCGGGAACAACCGACGUUAGGGAAUUCGGCAAGUUAGUCCCGUACCUUCGGAAUAAGGGAUGCCUGCUCCUGACAGGAGCAGGUCGCAGUGACUCGGACGCUCCGACUGUCUAGUAACAACAUAGGUGACCGCAAAUCCGCAAGGACUCGUACGGUCACUGAAUCCUGCCCAGUGCGGGUAUCUGAACACCUAGUACAAUAGGACGAAGGACCCGUCAACGGCGGGGGUAACUAUGACCCUCUUAAGGUAGCGUAGUACCUUGCCGCUUCAGUAGCGGCUUGCAUGAAUGGAUUAACGAGAGCGUCACUGUCCCAACGUUGGGCCCGGUGAACUGUACGUUCCAGUGCGGAGUCUGGAGACCCCCAAGGGGAAGCGAAGACCCUAUGGAGCUUUACUGCAGGCUGUUGCUGGGACAUGGUCGCUACUGUGCAGGGUAGGUAGGAGUCGUUACACAGGUAUCCGCGCUAGCGGACCACCGAGACACACAUGAAACACUACCCGGUAGUGACUGUGACCCUCACUCCUGGCGGAGGACACCAAUAGCCGGGCAGUUUGACUGGGGCGGUACGCGCUCGAAAGAAUAUCGAGCGCGCCCUAAGGCUAUCUCAGCCGUGACAGAGACGCGGCGAAGAGCGCAAGAGCAAAAGAUAGCUUGACAGUGUCACUACCAACACGGUGACGCUGACGCGAAAGCGUGGUCUAGCGAACGGAUGCGCCUGCUUGAUGCGGGCCGAUCUACGACAGAAAAGCUACCCUAGGGAUAACAGAGUCGUCACCGGCAAGAGCACAUAUCGACCCGGUGGCUUGCUACCUCGAUGUCGGUUCCCUCCAUCCUGCCCGUGCAGCAGCGGGCAAGGGUGAGGUUGUUCGCCUAUUAAAGGAGGUCGUGAGCUGGGUUUAGACCGUCGUGAGACAGGUCGGCUGCUAUCUAUUGGGGGUGUAACGGAAUCUGACGGGAACGAUCGUAUAGUACGAGAGGAACUCCGAUUGGUGACCACUGGUGUACCGGUUGUCCGAGAGGGCACGUGCCGGGCAGCCACGUCACACGGGGUAAGAGCUGAAUGCAUCUAAGCUCGAAACCCACCUGGAAAAGAGAUUCCACCGAGGUCACUCGUAGAAGACGAGAUAGAUAGACUCGGGGUGUACGCGUCGAGGCAACGAGACGUUGAGCCCGCGAGCACUAAUCGACCGAAGCCACACACU